GACGAACGCUGGCGGCGUGCUUAACACAUGCAAGUCGAACGAAGAGCGAUGGACGCUUGCUUCUAUCAAUCUUAGUGGCGAACGGGUGAGUCACGCGUAAUCAACCUGCCCUUCAGAGGGGGACAACAGUGGGAAACGACUGCUAAUACCGCAUACGAUCCAAUCUCGGCAUCGGGACUGGAUGAAAGGUGGUCUCUAUUUAUAAGCUAUCACCGAAGGAGGGGAUUGCGUCUGCUUAGGUAGUUGGUGGGGUAACGGCCUACCAAGGCGAUGAUCGGUAGCCGGUCUGAAAGGAGGGACCGCCAAAUUGGUACUGGGACACGGCCCAGACUCCUGAGGGAGGCAGCAGUGGGGAAUCUUCCGCAAUGGACGCAAGUCUGACUGGGGAACGCCGGGUGAGUGCAGGAGGCCUUCGGGUUGUAAAGCUCUGUUAAUCGGGACGAAUGGUUUUUGUGCGAAUAGUGCGAGGACUUGACGGUACCGGAAGAGAAAGCCACGGCUAACUACGUG
This 510-nucleotide ribosomal RNA is filed under the name uncultured bacterium. Its description in RNAcentral is "partial 16S ribosomal RNA". It matches the Rfam family "Bacterial small subunit ribosomal RNA", at positions 28 to 507 of the family's 1533-position model. The record is from RNAcentral.